Molecule: long non-coding RNA, 1323 nt
Organism: Bos taurus (domestic cattle)
Lineage: Eukaryota; Metazoa; Chordata; Mammalia; Artiodactyla; Bovidae
Source: Ensembl
GACAUUGCUCUCACCAGCCACCCUCACCCCCGGCGGAGCAGAGUCCCCGAGAGAAUCGCAGACCACGGAGGUCCCUCCUCUUCUGCUAGGCCACGAACCAAAAAAGGCCAACGGAGAGGAGAAUGGGUUAAAUCCUGGGACGCAGGGGAGAGUCAGGGGAGGAGAGAAGUCGGGGGGAGAUAAAGAAAAAGACAGGAACCAAGAAGCGUGGGGGUGGUUUGCCGUAAUGUGAGUGUUUCUUAAUUAGAGAACGGCUGACAAUAGAGGGGCUGGCAGAGGCUCCUGGCCGCGGUGCCGAGCGUCUGGAGCGGAGCACGCGCUGUCAGCUGCGCCGUAAGAAAGACAGAACUAAGCACUGUGGUACCAAGAUUUGAGGCCUCUCUACAUCCCAUUUCCUGUUUCAGUCCCGCUUCCAAAACCAAGAGAGAAACAGAAGAGGUUUUGGCUGCCUAGUCUGCAGGAAGUCAGGCCCAUGAGGCAAGUUCAUGCCGUUCUCCAGGGAAACCAGAAAAUUCCUCCAAAGACAUGAAACAAAAGAUGCUCUCCAAUACAAGCGUUUGGUUUUGUUUUUAGCUUUAACAAUUCUGUUAAAAGUGUUAGUCGUUCAGUCCUGUCCAACUCCUUGGGACCCCACAACUGUAGUCCACCCCGGGCUCCUCUAUGCAUGGAAUUCACCAGGCAAGAACACUAGAGUGGGUUGCCGUGCCCCCCUCCAGAGUACCGUUCUGAUCCCGGGAUCGAACCUGGGUCUCCCACGUUGCAGGCCCGUUCUUUACCAUCUCAGCCACCAGGGAAGCCCCACUGAAGAGUUAAGUGAUCUAAUAAAGGAAAUAGUGUUCUGAUGCGGGGUUCACCAGGCCCAGCUACUGUCAGGAUGAGGCUGGAAGGUGUGAGCUAGGUCUUCGGUGACUGUCUUGGGAAGACAGCAGAUGUAGUCGUUCUUAAGAGCCACUAGCCACCUAUUUGUCUCUUUCAGAGGCCUUUCCUCACGAUCCUUGUUGCCUUCCUGCCCCUACAAACACUUGGCCUUGGAAUGUUGGUAUGGGAAGGACUAGGACUGGGAGGGGUCCUUAGUAGGCAUCAUUUUUGGUCUUUGUGUCUUAAAUGCCACAAAAGUAAGAGAGAUCUGAAAACAUAGGGCUACCUGUUGACCAGGAAGGUAGAAGUUCAGUUCCUAACAAAAAUAUACAGGAUUUCUUUUCUUAAAAUUUCUUAUAACCCAAAAGACAUUGAUUUGGUAGGUCAAAGAAUAACUCCAGGAAGCUUCCUACAGCAUUCCCAGCUGAAUCUGAUCCAAAUGGAGGCAAGGACCACACCAUGAAG